Tyto alba (common barn owl) is the source of this 438-nucleotide non-coding RNA. NCBI's taxonomy places the organism in Eukaryota, Metazoa, Chordata, Aves, Strigiformes, Tytonidae. The record is from the annotation of a RefSeq genome assembly.
AUGAGGAUGUUGACAGCUUGGUGUGUGGCCAUGUACUUCUUUGGAGCAGGAGCUAAAAUCACCCAAACCUCAAGCCUUGUGCUGAAAGAAGAUGAGAAAGCUACUCUGACAUGCAGUCAGAAUGAUAAUCACAAUUCGAUGUACUGGUAUCUGCAGCAGCCAGGGAAGGAGCUACAAAUGCUCUAUUACUCCAUUGGUGCAAAUCAGCAAGAAGAGGUUAGCACUUACACUGGAUACAAAGCUAACCGGUUAAACCUCGCAGACUUCUAUUUGAAUAUUUUAUCUGUGAAGAUGAACCAUUCAGCUGUCUAUUUCUGUGCCAGCAGUUUGGACACAACACUUCAAAGUCACUCGCUUUCUUUACACAAACUUCUUUCCAACCCCUUUCCUCUGAUGGCAGCCGAUCUCAGCACAAGAAAAGGGUGUGUCAGCCAAUAG